Molecule: ribosomal RNA, 252 nt
Filed under: uncultured bacterium
Lineage: Bacteria
Description: partial 16S ribosomal RNA
Rfam family: Bacterial small subunit ribosomal RNA
Source: RNAcentral
UACGGGGGGGGCAAGCGUUACUCGGAAUUACUGGGCGUAAGCGUGCGUAGGUGGUUCGUUAAGUCUGAUGUGAAAGCCCUGGGCUCAACCUGGGAAUGGCAUUGGAAACUGGCGACCUAGAGUGCGGUAGAGGGUAGUGGAAUUCCCGGUGUAGCAGUGAAAUGCGUAGAGAUCGGGAGGAACAUCCGUGGCGAAGGCGACUACCUGGACCAGCACUGACACUGAGGCACGAAAGCGUGGGGAGCAAACAGG